Molecule: non-coding RNA, 2370 nt
Filed under: Drosophila sechellia
Lineage: Eukaryota; Metazoa; Arthropoda; Insecta; Diptera; Drosophilidae
Description: Eukaryotic large subunit ribosomal RNA
Rfam family: Eukaryotic large subunit ribosomal RNA
Source: Rfam by way of RNAcentral
CCAUGCCCGUAUAACGUUAAUGAUUACUAGAUGAUGUUUCCAAAUGAGUCGUGAUGCUUGAUAGUGCAGCACUAAGUGGGUGGUAAACUCCAUCUAAAACUAAAUAUAACCAUGAGACCGAUAGUAAACAAGUACCGUGAGGGAAAGUUGAAAAGAACUCUGAAUAGAGAGUUAAACAGUACGUGAAACUGCUUAGAGGUUAAGCACGAUGAACCUGAAUAUCCGUUAUGGAAAAUUCAUCAUUAAAAUUGUAAUAUUUAAAUAAUAUUAUUAAGAAUAAUGUGCAUUUUUUCCAUAUAAGGACAUUUUAAUCUAUUAGCAUAUCCCAAAUUUAUCAUAAAAUAUAACUUAUAGUUUAUUCCAAUUAAAUAUUUUGCAUUUUAACACAGAAUAAAUGUUAUUAAUUUGAUAAAGUGCUGAUAGAUUUAUAUUAUAAGAGAGCGUUAAUUUUUCGGAAUUAUAUAAUGGCAUAAUUAUCAUUGAUUUUUGUGUUUAUUAUAUGCUCUUGUAUGAUUAACAAUGCGAAAGAUUCAGGAUACCUUCGGGACCCGUCUUGAAACACGGACCAAGGUGUCUAACAUAUGUGCAAGAUAUUGGGAUGUAAACCUAAUAGCGUAAUUAACUUGGGAUUUGGUAUUAGUUUUUUAGCUAUUUAUAGCUAAUUAACACAUUCUAUAUAGUUAUGUAUAAUGUAUAUUUAUAUUAUUUAUGCCUCUAACUGGAACGUACCUUGAGCAUAUAUGCUGUGACCCGAAAGAUGGUGAACUAUACUUGAUCAGGUAAAAGUCAGAAGAAACCCCGAUGAAAGACCGAAACAGUUCUGACGUGUAAAUCGAUUGUCAGAAUUGAGUAUAGGGGUGAAAGACCAAUCGAACCAUCUAGUAGCUGGUUCCUUCCAAAGUUUCCCUCAGGAUAGCUGGUGCAUUUUAAUAUUAUAUAAAAUAAUCUUAUCUGGUAAAGCGAAUGAUUAGAGGCCUUAGGGUCGAAACGAUCUUAACCUAUUCUCAAACGUUAAAUGGGUAAGAACCUUAACUUUCUUGAUAUGAAGUUCAAGGUUAUGAUAUAAUGUGCCCAGUGGGCCACUUUUGGUAAGCAGAACUGGCGCUGUGGGAUGAACCAAACGUAAUGUUACGGUGCCCAAAUUAACAACUCAUGCAGAUACCAUGAAAGGCGUUGGUUGCUUAAAACAGGAGGACGAUGAUCAUGGAAGUCUAAAUCCGCUAAGGAGUGUGUAACAAUUAACCUGCCGAAGCAACUAGCUUUUAAAUUGGUUGGCGCUUAAGUUGUAUACCUAUACAUUACCGCUAAAGUAGAUGAUUUAUAUUACUUGUGAUAUAAAUUUUGAAGGGUUUCAUGUGAACAGUGGUUGAUCAUGAGUUAGUCGGUCCUAAGUUCAAGGCGAAAGCCGAAAAUUUUCAAGUAAAACAAAAAUGCCUAACUAUAUAAACAAAGCGAAUAUAAUACACUUGAAUAAUUUUGAGCGAAAGGGAAUACGGUUCCAAUUCCGUAACCUGUUGAGUAUCCGUUUGUUAUUAAAUAUGGGCCUCGUGCUCAUCCUGGCAACAGGAACGACCAUAAAGAAGCCGUCGAGAGAUAUCGGAAGAGUUUUCUUUUCUGUUUUAUAGCCCUACUACCAUGGAAGUCUUUCGCAGAGAGAUAUGGUAGAUGGGCUAGAAGAGCAUGACAUAUACUGUUGUGUCGAUAUUUUCUCCUCGGACCUUGAAAAUUUAUGGUGGAGACACGCAAACUUCUCAACAGGCCGUACCAAUAUCCGCAGCUGGUCUCCAAAGUGAAGAGUCUCUAGUCGGUAGAAUAAUGUAGGUAAGGGAAGUCGGCAAAUUAUAUCCGUAACUUCGGGAUAAGGAUUGGCUCUGAAGAUUGAGAUAGUCGGGCUUGAUUGGGAAACAAUAACAUGGUUUAUGUGCUCGUUCUGGGUAAAUAGAGUUUCUAUCAUUUAUGUUAGUUACUUGUUCCCCGGAUAGUUUAGUUACGUAGCCAAUUGUGGAACCUUCUUGCUUAAAUUUUUAGGAAUACUAUUUGGGUUAAACCAAUUAGUUCUUAUCAAUUAUAACGAUUAUCAAUUAACAAUCAAUUCAGAACUGGCACGGACUUGGGGAAUCCGACUGUCUAAUUAAAACAAAGCAUUGUGAUGGCCCUAGCGGGUGUUGACACAAUGUGAUUUCUGGCCAGUGCUCUGAAUGUCAAAGUGAAGAAAUUCAAGUAAGCGCGGGUCAACGGCGGGAGUAACUAUGACUCUCUUAAAGGGGGAUCUAGGGUAUUUGCGAGCAGAGGGGGAGUAAUUUUCCGUAAUUCGUAAGUAAUAUCAUAUGGUGUGCGGAAGGGGAGUUUUACUCUGUAACUCACUCCUUU